GCCGGCGAGUGGCGAACGGGUGAGUAAUGUAUCGGAACGUACCUUUCAGUGGGGGAUAACGUAGCGAAAGUUACGCUAAUACCGCAUAUUCUCUGAGGAGGAAAGCAGGGGACCUUCGGGCCUUGCGCUGAUGGAGCGGCCGAUAUCAGAUUAGCUAGUUGGUGGGGUAAAGGCUCACCAAGGCUACGAUCUGUAGCGGGUCUGAGAGGAUGAUCCGCCACACUGGGACUGAGACACGGCCCAGACUCCUACGGGAGGCAGCAGUGGGGAAUUUUGGACAAUGGGCGAAAGCCUGAUCCAGCCAUGCCGCGUGAGUGAAGAAGGCCUUCGGGUUGUAAAGCUCUUUCGGACGGGAAGAAAUCAUGAGGGCUAAUAUCCCUUGUGGAUGACGGUACCGUAAUAAGAAGCACCGGCUAACUACGUGCCAGCAGCCGCGGUAAUACGUAGGGUGCGAGCGUUAAUCGGAAUUACUGGGCGUAAAGCGUGCGCAGGCGGUUUUGUAAGACAGGCGUGAAAUCCCCGGGCUCAACCUGGGAACUGCGCUUGUGACUGCAUCACUUGAGUACGGCAGAGGGGGGUGGAAUUCCACGUGUAGCAGUGAAAUGCGUAGAGAUGUGGAGGAACACCGAUGGCGAAGGCAGCCCCCUGGGUCGAUACUGACGCUCAUGCACGAAAGCGUGGGUAGCAAACAGGAUUAGAUACCCUGGUAGUCCACGCCCUAAACGAUGUCAACUAGGUGUUGGGUGGGUAAAACCAUUUAGUACCGUAGCUAACGCGUGAAGUUGACCGCCUGGGGAGUACGGCCGCAAGGUUAAAACUCAAAGGAAUUGA
RNAcentral lists this ribosomal RNA (831 nucleotides) under Dechloromonas denitrificans. RNAcentral's name for it is "bacterial SSU rRNA". It matches the Rfam family "Bacterial small subunit ribosomal RNA", at positions 87 to 913 of the family's 1533-position model. Lineage: Bacteria; Pseudomonadati; Pseudomonadota; Betaproteobacteria; Rhodocyclales; Azonexaceae. The record is from RNAcentral.